UGUAGCAUAGUGUAGUGGUUUGAGUGUUGGACUACUACUCUGGAGACCAGGGUUCAAUUCCCAGCUCUGCCA
This 72-nucleotide transfer RNA is filed under the name Phrynosoma platyrhinos (Desert horned lizard). RNAcentral describes it as "tRNA-OTHER". Lineage: Eukaryota; Metazoa; Chordata; Lepidosauria; Squamata; Phrynosomatidae. The record is from RNAcentral.